CUUGAACAACGUCGAUAUCCUCCAUUCCAAGGAAGCUUUAGUCUGUCAGCAAUAAAGGCGAAGAUGACCUUGACUUCUUCAUGAUACAGAGGGGUGGUGUGUUUGCGGAGACGGCUGAUUAGGCCAGUCCUUGCACAGAAAAGUCUGCUGCAAUGAGGGUUCAUCAGGGCAGGUCCUGCUGUGUCACAAGACAAACAGUUUUGACAGGUGAGGUGAAAGUCAGACGCAACGACCUGUCAUGUCUUUCAACACCUUGACGCAACCUUUCACGGCAGAAUUCCUGUUUUCAGGCCUCUCUGGGUGAGGAAACUCAUGCAAAAAUGUUCUAAACCAAAAUCAUUUCAGUUCAAGGGCCACAUUUAACCCAAUUUCAUCUCCAGUGACCAGUAAAAUCACAACAUAAUAAUCUAUAAAUAACCACAACUCCAAAUUUUUCCUUUGUUUUAGUGUAAAAAGGUAUGUUUUGAAAAUGUUUACAUUUAAGGAAUUAUAUUUUUAUAAAA
This is a long non-coding RNA of Amphiprion ocellaris (clown anemonefish), 503 nucleotides long. RefSeq lists it as uncharacterized. The transcript is spliced from 3 exons. Lineage: Eukaryota; Metazoa; Chordata; Actinopteri; Pomacentridae. The record is from RefSeq and is a predicted model, not a curated record.